Salvia miltiorrhiza (redroot sage) is the source of this 689-nucleotide long non-coding RNA. RefSeq lists it as uncharacterized. Lineage: Eukaryota; Viridiplantae; Streptophyta; Magnoliopsida; Lamiales; Lamiaceae. The record is from RefSeq and is a predicted model, not a curated record. The transcript is spliced from 2 exons.
GCACACACCCGUGAGGGUCUGUGUGUUUGGCGGAGUAAAGAGGCAAGUGGUAGUCUUUACCUUUUCGACGGUCGAUUGCGUAAAGAUAGAUAUCGGCGGCGAAUUCGUCUCCGCUUAUCAAUUCAUCGAAUACAGUCCACGAGGCAAUGGAUACGACCACGCAAUCAAAUUGCAGAAUAUUAUUGUCUUAAAGAUAAUUGGGUUUGAGCUGUCGAAGUGUUCGAAUUUCUGUCAUGCAAAUGCAAAAUAUUUAUGGUUUGGUAUAUGAGUCAUCUCCACGAGCUAAAGUAUAAAGGAGCAGAUCCUGCGCGGGCAUGAGUGGUAGCGUCGCCACAUCAAGGACAAUUGGAAAAGCAAGCGAAACCUUUAUAGCCUGGCCUAAUAGCGCAGCCACACUGAGAGAACCAACAUGACGAAUCUCACUGAAAGAAUAAAUAAUGCCUGCGCAGACACUCAAGGCUUCCGCCAGCGUAGUAUCAACUCGCCAUGCUUAGAUUAGAAAGCUGUAAGUUAGUUAGAAUAAUAUAGCCUAUUAGACAGUGACCGCCGCCCUCAUCGGUACAUGUAGAGUACGUGAGAAAUGUCAAAAGACCUUCAUACCCUUUGCCCUUGUAAUCUCUAUAAAUACCCAUGUAUUCCUCUGUAAUGCUCUCUGGCAAUUAUAAUAGAAACAGUCAUAUUUACCUUAA